RNAcentral lists this ribosomal RNA (656 nucleotides) under uncultured bacterium. Its description in RNAcentral is "bacterial SSU rRNA". It matches the Rfam family "Bacterial small subunit ribosomal RNA", at positions 148 to 803 of the family's 1533-position model. The record is from RNAcentral.
CGGCGGAAACGGCGACUAAUACCCCAUAUGCUGCGAUGCUGCAUGGCAUUGCAAUGAAAGAUUCAUCGGUGGCGGAUAGGCUCGCGGGACAUUAGCUAGACGGCGGGGCAACGGCCCACCGUGGCGACGAUGUCUAGGGGUUCUGAGAGGAAGACCCCCCACACUGGGACUGAGACACGGCCCAGACUCCUACGGGAGGCAGCAGUGAGGAAUAUUGGUCAAUGGGCGGAAGCCUGAACCAGCCAUGCCGCGUGAAGGACUAAGGCCCUACGGGUCGUAAACUUCUUUAGACGCAGAGCAAUAAGGUCCACGAGUGGACCGAUGAGAGUAUGCGUAGAAUAAGCAUCGGCUAACUCCGUGCCAGCAGCCGCGGUAAUACGGGGGAUGCGAGCGUUAUCCGGAUUCAUUGGGUUUAAAGGGUGCGUAGGCGGCCGAGUAAGUCAGCGGUGAAAGACCGGGGCUCAACCCUGGAAGUGCCGUUGAUACUGUUUGGCUGGAAUGAUCCCGCCGCGGGAGGAAUGAGUGGUGUAGCGGUGAAAUGCAUAGAUAUCACUCAGAACACCGAUUGCGAAGGCAUCUCGCGAGGGGUCAAUUGACGCUGAGGCACGAAAGCGUGGGGAUCGAACAGGAUUAGAUACCCUGGUAGUCCACGCGGU